RNAcentral lists this ribosomal RNA (492 nucleotides) under uncultured bacterium. RNAcentral's name for it is "partial 16S ribosomal RNA". It matches the Rfam family "Bacterial small subunit ribosomal RNA", at positions 29 to 507 of the family's 1533-position model. The record is from RNAcentral.
AGUGAACGCUGGCGGUAGGCCUAACACAUGCAAGUCGAACGGCAGCACAGUAAGAGCUUGCUCUUACGGGUGGCGAGUGGCGGACGGGUGAGGAAUACAUCGGACUCUACUUUUUCGUGGGGGAUAACGUAGGGAAACUUACGCUAAUACCUCAUACGACCUACGGGUGAAAGCAGGGGAUCUUCGGACCUUGCGCGAUUGAAUGAGCCGAUGUCGGAUUAGCUAGUUGGCGGGGUAAAGGCCCACCAAGGCGACGAUCCGUAGCUGGUCUGAGAGGAUGAUCAGCCACACCGGAACUGAGACACGGUCCAGACUCCUACGGGAGGCAGCAGUGGGGAAUAUUGGACAAUGGGCGCAAGCCUGAUCCAGCCAUACCGCGUGGGUGAAGAAGGCCUUCGGGUUGUAAAGCCCUUUUGUUGGGAAAGAAAAGCAGCAGGUUAAUACCCCGCUGUUCUGACGGUACCCAAAGAAUAAGCACCGGCUAACUUCGUG